This 482-nucleotide ribosomal RNA is filed under the name uncultured bacterium. Its description in RNAcentral is "partial 16S ribosomal RNA". It matches the Rfam family "Bacterial small subunit ribosomal RNA", at positions 29 to 523 of the family's 1533-position model. The record is from RNAcentral.
AUUGAACGCUGGCGGUAUGCUUAACACAUGCAAGUCGAAAGGCAGCACGGUAUGUAGCAAUACAUAUUGGUGGCAAGUGGCGGACGGGUGAGUAACGCGUAGGAAUCGGCCCUCAAGCGGGGGACAACCCGAGGAAACUCGGGCUAAUACCGCCUAAACUCGGAAGACAAAAGCUGGGGUCGCCUGGCGCUUGAGGAGGAGCCUGCGUCUGAUUAGCUAGUUGGUAGGGUAAAGGCCUACGAAGGCGAUGAGCAGUAGCUGGUCGGAGAGGAUGACCAGCCACACUGGAACUGAGACACGGGCCAGACGCCUACGGGAGGCAGAAGUGGGGAAUAUUGCACAAUGGGCGCAAGCCUGAUGCAGCAGCGCCGCGUGAGGGAUGACGGCCUGCGGGUUGUAAACCUCUUUUAGUAGGGAAGAAGCGAAAGUGACGGUACCUGCAGAAAAAGCACCGGCUAACUACGUGCCAGCAGCCGCCGUAA